This 165-nucleotide ribosomal RNA is filed under the name uncultured bacterium. RNAcentral's name for it is "partial 16S ribosomal RNA". It matches the Rfam family "Bacterial small subunit ribosomal RNA", at positions 355 to 511 of the family's 1533-position model. The record is from RNAcentral.
UAGGGAAUCUUCCACAAUGGGCGAAAGCCUGAUGGAGCAACGCCGCGUGUGUGAUGAAGGGUUUCGGCUCGUAAAACUCUGUUGGUAGAGAAGAACGUUGGUGAGAGUGGAAAGCUCAUCAAGUGACGGUAACUACCCAGAAAGGGACGGCUAACUACGUGCCAG